Molecule: transfer RNA, 67 nt
Filed under: Mecistops cataphractus (African slender-snouted crocodile)
Lineage: Eukaryota; Metazoa; Chordata; Crocodylia; Crocodylidae
Description: tRNA-Ser
Source: RNAcentral
AUAUGAGAGCCGGGUGGUUAAGUCCGGGGCACAGAAUUAGCAGUUCUUGUAGGACUCUCAUAAGUUG